RNAcentral lists this ribosomal RNA (543 nucleotides) under Triticum aestivum (bread wheat). RNAcentral's name for it is "partial small subunit ribosomal RNA". The record is from RNAcentral. Lineage: Eukaryota; Viridiplantae; Streptophyta; Magnoliopsida; Poales; Poaceae.
AUGGAUGUUAAAAAAAAACGGCCUUUCACAUUGAUGCAUUGCUAUAUAGAGUUUGCAAAGUAUCCAAAGUGGCAGACAAGAGAACUUGAAACUUCUCUUAAGAAACAAAAGAAGACCAUUGAUGGAAGUCCAGGCACAGCCACCAAUGAUCCGUCCGAUGCAUCCUCAGUACGCACUGAUGCAACCUCGAUACAUACUGAUGCUCUUGAACAUGAGAAAAGACCUGAUGGUGUUAAGAAGGACAAGAGAGGUAAAACUGAUGAGAAUGCUUGCAAGCUGUCAUUAGAAACUGUGUGGGCAGCAAAGCAAGAGAAGGAUGAGAUCAAAGAAGCGGCAAGAAAUGCUCGCCAUGCACAGCAAUUUGAAUUGCAAAAAAAGGAGAUUGCACUCAGAAAGAAGGAGGAUGCACGAAACGAGAGGGAGGAUGCACGGAGACAGUUUGAAUUAGAUGAGAGGGUCAUGCUGCUCGACACUAGUGGUAUGACUGAUGUGCAAAAGCAGUUCUACCAAGCUAAGCAGAAUGAGAUCCUGCUCGAGGCCUAG